ACUAGCUGACGAGUCCCAGAUAGGACGUGACGCUCGUCCUGUAU
Molecule: non-coding RNA, 44 nt
Organism: Schistosoma curassoni
Lineage: Eukaryota; Metazoa; Platyhelminthes; Trematoda; Strigeidida; Schistosomatidae
Source: Rfam